RNAcentral lists this ribosomal RNA (377 nucleotides) under uncultured rumen bacterium. RNAcentral's name for it is "bacterial SSU rRNA". It matches the Rfam family "Bacterial small subunit ribosomal RNA", at positions 20 to 363 of the family's 1533-position model. The record is from RNAcentral.
UGGCUCAGGAUGAACGCUGGCGGCGUGCUUAACACAUGCAAGUCGAACGAAGCGUCCCGCCCGAUGAAAUGGAGAGCUUGCUCAAAGUAGAAUCAAUUGGGAUGACUUAGUGGCGGACGGGUGAGUAACGCGUGGGUAACCUGCCUUACACAGGGGGACAACAGUUGGAAACGACUGCUAAUACCGCAUAACCCGCUAGUAUCGCAUGAUACAGACGGAAAAGAUUUAUCGGUGUAAGAUGGACCCGCGUCUGAUUAGCUAGUUGGUGAGGUAACGGCUCACCAAGGCGACGAUCAGUAGCCGGCCUGAGAGGGUGAACGGCCACAUUGGGACUGAGACACGGCCCAAACUCCUACGGGAGGCAGCAGUGGGGAAUA